This 4388-nucleotide long non-coding RNA is filed under the name Ursus thibetanus thibetanus. RNAcentral's name for it is "lncRNA (ENSUTTG00000019998.1)". Lineage: Eukaryota; Metazoa; Chordata; Mammalia; Carnivora; Ursidae. The record is from RNAcentral.
AUUAUUGACUUUAGUUAACUUUUAGUUCAACUGAGUUUUGACCACAACUGAGUUUUGACCCCAAAUUUGAUGGGGUAGAGCAUCUGAAGAAAGGAGAACCCCUAGAAUCCCAACCCCGUUGACCACAUGGAAGAUGAGAUGUUUCACAUCUUCUAGGCAAAAAGUAGUAGGUGUGCAGAAGGCCAAGGAAUAGACAAAGCUAGAAAUGUGAAAAUCUGAAGGGAAAAAAGUCAAGGAAAAAACCCAAAACCCAACUCAAGGAUGGAGUUGGCUAAAGAGUCAUGGAAUAGUAUGGCUAACUGGGUAGAAGCGGUGUGGGUAGAAACUCUAAUGCGGUAGUAUACAUGUCAUUUAUAACACAGCCUACAACUAACCUAAGGCAGAAGCAGAAAAUAGAAGAAAACAGGAAUUAACUGAGGCGAACUAGAAUUGGUGCUUGUCACAAUUAAUGGGAUAAGGAAGAAACACUAAAGAAUCAAAGGCUUCAAAAAGCUGCUGUAAAUACUAAAUAAGAACUGAGAAAAGCACAAUUCUUAUUGUCAUGUAUUCAUCAGAGGCCCAUGCCAUCGGCUGACGGACCGUGUGAAUAGGUCCUGUGACUUAAGUCAUCUCAUAUGUCUGCAUGGAAGACCCUGUCUGCUUUAAACCAGAUUGACCCUCUACCUAUCUUCCAGAAACAGGUACCGCAGGCAAGUUCUCCUAAUGCCUGGCCCUUGGGGAAGCCUAGAGAGAGAGGCAAUUUGGAAAACCCUGUUUUGGAACGGAGCUGCUCCUUAAAAGCUCCCCGUGGAAGAGGGAUUCCUGCUGCAAACGACAUGACACCCCAGACACGCGGCUUGGGCUGGUGCAAGGAUUGUCACUCCUUCCUUCUUGAGGCUCUCUGACCUAGUAGGUCCAUGGCCUGCACUGCUAGGUGAGUACCCAGGUGACUUGUUCCCUUAUGUUAUGCUUGGGCUCUUCUCUGGAAGUUACAGAGAUACAGAGGCUGCCCAAUGUGUCUGUUUACUUUUCAUAUGCUUUUGACUUUUACGCUGACUUCAUCUCCUUGUGUUUCCUGGUUUCUGGAAGAAAAUGUGGCAAACAUUGUCACUGGCAAGUUCCCGCCAUGCAGCAUUAGUAAAAUGGAUUUCUUCCCUUUAUUUACACUUUUAUAAAUUUAACCUCUUGCCAACACAUCCUAUCACCACGUACUCUUCAUCACCAAUAUGAAGGCCUAAGCAGUAUGGAGACGAGACUUUGUUUUCUUCCCUAUUUGAUUUUUAAAUUAUAGAAGAUUCUAAUGCUGUCAACUGGUAAAUGUUUAGAGUUUAAGGUAAACAUCACUCCAACUUUUAUAAUGUUUAGAGUUUAAGGUAAACAUCACUCCUACGGAAAACUGGUUUUGAAGAUGACCUUUUUUAAAAACCUACUUUACAAAGAGUUUUCUCGAACACAUAUUUUCAAAUUUGAUAAAGAAAACAAGGGGUUCUACCUGUUCAAUGCAGCUUUGAAUAUUUAGAAUUUCUUCUGUUAACUGUUCUGUUUUCUCAUCCCUGCUGCACGCGGUGCUCAAAGAGACUGAACUGGAGACACCAGCCCCCUGCCAGGAAAAGCCACACGUUCUUGGAGUGAGGAAGUGCUAGCUGCUGGCUGGGGACUUCCCAGGUCACUCAUUUUGAAACCCUCCAAACACUGACCUAAAGAUCAAAUUCUUGUCCUCAACAGCAAGGAUCAAAAGGUUGGAAGGCUGUGUGCUGUUUCCUCAUCCAGCACCAGGGUUCUGUUGCAGAGCUGCAGUUAAAGGGACACUAAGUCCGGCUUGUUCUUUUCUUCCUCAUCUUUCCAAUUAAGGACAUUAUUUGAUUUGGUGCAUCUUAGCCAUUCAUUUUGGCGGACAGUCGUUUCUCUUGUUAAAAAGACCAAAGACCGUCCUAAACUUGGAGUCAGCCAAGUAGGUAGAGCAAGUGUCUCAUGAUUCCACAGAGCUGCCCGAGGAGCACCGGGUUCCAGUCUACGCGGGAGCCCCUGUUAGGAGCGGUGUUACGUGCGGGAGCCGGAGCUCUGAGAGCAGCCACGUGGCAUAAGUCGUACCUCGUGGACACUUUUGUACUGUUUAGUCCAAGCACAGGUGCCAGGCAUGAGAGCCUAUGUGACCCUGAGACCAAAAAAAGAGGGAAGAGAGAAAAGAGGGAGGAGCAGGAGAAGUUCUCCUAAUUCACUUCUCUUAAUUCUCACUAGGGGAAGAGAAUGACUAAAACAGAACCUGCAUCUAAGAGCAUUAGUAUUAUUAAUAAUAAUACCUUUGAUAACUAGGCCAGUGAUCUCACAGCACUUUUAUCAUCCAUUAUUUUCUCUGUACUCACCCAAAUCUCAAGGACCUAUAGAAUGGGUAUCGCCGUGUCUUAAGUUUUUGUUUCUCUUUUCUCUUUCUUCAUCAGCUUUGUUUGAAAAUGAGGGAUCUUGACCUGAGCGCUAAGAACUUAUAGAUUUUGAAUGAAAAAAGCCUCUACUAUUUUGGAGGCAUCGUCUUUCCUCUUAGGUAGACAUCAGCCUACAGUACUUUAUAGGAGGUACAAAGGUAGUGUAUAUGCAAUAUCGGACAUCACAGCAGAGUGAUGUCCAAGGGCUCCCAUUCAUAGUAAACUCAAUGAGAGAAUUUAUAUCCCAAAUCAAAAAGUGGAAAAUUCUAGACUGGUUUUAAAGCAUCAUAGCCCAGAGAUAGUCAGUUGACUCAUGGAGAGCCUCUGUUCUGAUGUAUCUGAGCAUACAUAGUUCACAUGAUUAGAUUUCCUGAGUCUGUUUAAAAUCUUGGAGGUGCCUGGUGGCUCAGUCGGAUAAACGUCUGCCUUCGGCUCAGGUCAUGAUCCCAGGGUCCUGGGAUUGAGCCCCGCAUCAGGCUCCUUGCACAGCGGGAGCCUGCUUCUCCUUCUCCCUCUCCCCUUCGCCCUUCUUGUGAUUUCUCUCUCUCACAUAAAUAAAUAAAAUCUUUUUAAAAAAUAAAAUCUUGAUCAUUACGGUUUAUAAACGAAUUCAGCCAUUUGGAAAUCUGACUUAAAAUGAAAGUCUGGUCAUUUGUCUCAAAUGUUGAGAUAGCUCUCUCAAAUGGUAGGCUCUUUGCCUUGAAUAUUAGGUAGGUCAUCCUCCUUUAAAUCUUGUCCUUCCUAACUCACCCCCACCCCACUCAUCUCCCAAAAGAAGACCCCUAACAGAGUUUUCAUCUGUCUUUGUAGUACUCCAUUCCUAUAAAUUCCUUCUCCAUGUUUUUGUUCUGUUUCACUUAGUUUGGAAAAUGGCAGCACAGAAUAUGUUUGGUAAUGUUUGGUAUAACCCUAAUCCUGGCUGGCACCUGUGAUCCCUUUUUUAAAAAAAAAUGAAGAAGCCUUUUUUUAAAAACCUAUUUUAUAAAGAAUUCUCUGAAUUCUUUAUGUAUGUGGAAUAUGUAUAUUUGUGUUUGUGUAUAUUUGUGUGUGUGUGUCCUGGGGUUGAAGUAUAGAAGUAAAAACCUUAAAUAAAGUAGAAAACAAGUGUCCUUUAUUAUCCAGUCCCCUUCAUAUUUUUAGUUGUUUAGAAAAUGUUUCUCCUGUUGUUCCUAUCAAAUAUUUCUCAUUUUGGCAUCGUGAUGUCAGAGUGUGUGUGUGUAUGUGUUCGUGUGCGGGGUAGAGGUAAGGGAGACACUAGGUCAGAUCCUAUAAUGCGCAACGGUGAAGAGCCUACUAAGUUAAUUAAUCUUCAAUUAGCAGAUCAUUGAGAAUAUGAAUCACUCACAGGCAGUCAAAAGGUGAUGUCAGUGAGUGGUUAUGGCUCAGCAUGACUGUUCCUGUUUGUUAUUGCAUUUAGUCUUAGCACUCUUGCUAUCACAAGGCUGUCCUGUGAGUUUUACUCUGGGACUUUAGAAAUGUCUAUGCCAAAGAGGCAUCUGGGUGGCUUCCAACUCUUGGCUCUGGUUCAGGAAAUCUCAGGGUGGUGAGCUAGAUCCCUACGUCAGGCUCCACACUCAGCGUGGAGUCUGCUAGAGAUUCUCUUUCCCUCUCCCUCUCCUGAUCAUGCCCUCUCUCUCUCUAAAAAUAAAUAAAUAAAUCUUAAAAAAAAAAAGUCUAUGCCAAACAUAGCAUAGCUAUGAGCUAUGGGUAGCUCAGAGAGUUAAGCAUCUGCCUUUGGCUCAGGUCAUGAUCCCAGGGUCCUGGGAUCCAGCCCUGCUUCUCCCUCUCCCUCUCCUGUUCCCCCUGCUUGUGCUCUCUCACUCUCUCUGUCAAAUAAAUAAAUAAAAUCUUAAAAAAAAAUAUAUAUAUAUAUAUAUAUAAAGCAAGGGACAAGAAGGAUGUCUGGGUGGCUUAGUCAGUUAAGCAUCUGCCUUCAGCUGAGGUCAUGAUCUCAGGGCCCUGGGCUUCAGGCUCCUUACUCAGCAGGUA